Molecule: microRNA precursor, 55 nt
Organism: Lonchura striata (white-rumped munia)
Lineage: Eukaryota; Metazoa; Chordata; Aves; Passeriformes; Estrildidae
Source: Ensembl
GCCGGCGGGGAAACCGUUACCAUUACUGAGUUUAGUAAUGGUAACGGUUCUGCCG